GCUUGCCGUCGGGGACAAAAGCUUCAGGAACGUAGCUCUCUUCGGGGAGUGUUAUAGCCUGUUGCAUAAUACCCUUCGGCGGGCUGAGGUACGCGCUCCGCAAGGAUGCUGGCGUAAUGGUCAUCAGCGA
Molecule: ribosomal RNA, 130 nt
Filed under: Colletotrichum spaethianum
Lineage: Eukaryota; Fungi; Ascomycota; Sordariomycetes; Glomerellales; Glomerellaceae
Description: partial large subunit ribosomal RNA
Source: RNAcentral